AAUCAGGUCAAGAAGCAGUAAUAAAGUUGGGGAAGGGCCUGGAGAGCAAACAUGUGCUUUGGCUGAACCUGAGAGAAGUCUCAAGGCCUUGGGAGCAGGAUCCAGCUGUUUUUUUUUACUAGCAGGCCACCCAGAAAGGACUGCAGGCGUUCCUGCUUCCAGCCUAGCAACUCAUGAUGGAAGAAGAACUUAUCUCACAGAAGGCCCUGAAACAAAAGAAUCUGCAGAAUGACUUCAGAAGAGCCAAGACCAUGACACUCAACGUGGGAGUGCAAAGCCUGUA
Molecule: long non-coding RNA, 283 nt
Organism: Pogoniulus pusillus (Red-fronted tinkerbird)
Lineage: Eukaryota; Metazoa; Chordata; Aves; Piciformes; Lybiidae
Exons: 3
Source: RefSeq, a predicted model, not a curated record